UCUGAAUCGUUUCCUCCAAAACUCGAGGAGUUUAAAUUUUUGCAUUUUUUCUAGCUUCUCCAUGCAAGAAAAGGUUGAAGUUUGUUCAAGAGGAUGAAUAUUGUCAGAAACUUAGUGAAAAGGCUGACAAAAUGGGAAGAACAAAAGCAAUGCUACUCUACAUUAGAACAUAAGGUGACAGUGGAUUCAGCUUCUGAAGAAGAGAGAAACAGAAAGCAGUUCUUAAACCACAUAUCAGUGACUGUCUCUGCAAAUAUCUUCUCCUUCAGCCUUUAAUGCAGCCUUUCAGCCCCCUUUGAAAGUUACAGAGUGGCUAGGUACUCAU
Non-coding RNA from Lonchura striata (white-rumped munia), 325 nucleotides. The record is from RefSeq and is a predicted model, not a curated record. Lineage: Eukaryota; Metazoa; Chordata; Aves; Passeriformes; Estrildidae.